AUUGAACGCUGGCGGCAGGCCUAACACAUGCAAGUCGAACGGUAACAGGAAGAAGCUUGCUUCUUUGCUGACGAGUGGCGGACGGGUGAGUAAUGUCUGGGAAACUGCCUGAUGGAGGGGGAUAACUACUGGAAACGGUAGCUAAUACCGCAUAACGUCGCAAGACCAAAAAGGGGGACCUUCGGGCCUCUUGCCAUCGGAUGUGCCCAGAUGGGAUUAGCUAGUAGGUGGGGUAACGGCUCACCUAGGCGACGAUCCCUAGCUGGUCUGAGAGGAUGACCAGCCACACUGGAACUGAGACACGGUCCAGACUCCUACGGGAGGCAGCAGUGGGGAAUAUUGCACGAUGGGCGCAAGCCUGAUGCAGCCAUGCCGCGUGUAUGAAGAAGGCCUUCGGGUUGUAAAGUACUUUCAGCGGGGAGGAAGGGAGUAAAGUUAAUACCUUUGCUCAUUGACGUUACCCGCAGAAGAAGCACCGGCUAACUCCGUG
This 490-nucleotide ribosomal RNA is filed under the name uncultured bacterium. RNAcentral's name for it is "partial 16S ribosomal RNA". It matches the Rfam family "Bacterial small subunit ribosomal RNA", at positions 30 to 507 of the family's 1533-position model. The record is from RNAcentral.